UUCAGCUAUUUAAAUAGACCUCUUACAAUUUUAAAACCCUAUUUUGUUCAUUCUUUUGUUUUCUAAACUAAACCCUAGCCGUCUUGCACUCUAGAACGUCAUGUGGUAUCGUCUUCAUCAUUCCUCCCAUCCCUCCCAAAUCCAAGUUAUGUUGAGAUUGGUUACGUCUCAAUCUCUAAACUCGUCGUCCUUGGAAAUCCUAAAGCGUCGGAAUUAUACGACCCGACUACUGUUCGUGCUCCAAAGGCGAACCCGGAUUAGUUGCUUGCCGGUUAUCACGUGGAUUAGCAAGCAGGUUAUGAUCUGAGAGAGUCUGGUGAUCUCCGCAUUUACUUUUCCUCGGAGGUUCCAUUUAUUUUAAUAGAACUAUCAAACUAUUUUAUUCUUAGACCGCAGUAGUUGACUAGACGUCUUUAUUAUUAUUACAGUUGUUUGUCGGAUUGGUCCGACUAGUUAUAUUGCUCUGGUAUGUUACAUUAUUUGCAUUGAUUUAUGUUAUGCCGAUUUUUAGACUCA
Molecule: long non-coding RNA, 516 nt
Organism: Mercurialis annua (annual mercury)
Lineage: Eukaryota; Viridiplantae; Streptophyta; Magnoliopsida; Malpighiales; Euphorbiaceae
Exons: 4
Source: RefSeq, a predicted model, not a curated record